GCUGCCGGCUGCCCGUGCGGGUGGAGCAGGUCGUCAAUGGCGCGCUGCUGGUCACUGUGAGCUGCGGGCAGCGCAGCUUCGCCGGGAUCCUGCUGGACUGCACGAAAAAGUCCGGCCUCUUCGGCCUGCCCCCAUCCACUCCACUGCCCCAGGCCGAGGACACCCCUGUCAAUGGCUGCCAGGGCCCAGCCGCCACAGAGGAGGACCCGGAGGCGAUGCAGCUGGGAACAGCGCCCCCGCCGCCUUCCUGCCCUGAGCUGCCCCCGCCCCUGGUGCCGCCGCUGCCCGCUGGAAGCCUGCCCCCCUUCCCGCCAUAUUUUGAAGGCGCCCCCUUCCCGCCCCCACUCUGGCUGAGGAACACCUACCAGCAGUGGGUGCCACAGCCACCACCCCGGACCAUCAAGAGGACAAAGAGGCGCCUGUCCCGCAACCGUGACCCUGGCCGGCUGGCCCUGAGCCCCAUCUGCCUGCGGCCACGGCGGGUCCUCUGCGAGAAGUGCAAGAGCACCCUGAGCCCCCCGGAGGCUGGCCCCGCGCCCCCAGCCACCCCCCGGCCUCGCAGGAGACUGGGCAGUGGCUCCGACCCAGACAGGGAGCUCCGCAAACACGAGGACCCAGAUGGCGGGGGUGAAACCGCGGCCUCGGCCACCACCAGGAGAAGCAAGAGGGAGAGGCGGGAGGAGGACCAGGCUCGGGUCCCACGGAGCCCGGCCAUCAAGAUCUCCUACAGCACACCUCAGGGCAAGGGCGAGGUGGUGGAGAUCCCGUCCCGCGUGCACGGCUCCCUGGAGCCCUUCUGCCCCCCGCAGGCCCUGCACGGUGCCCCGGACCCCGAGGCGGCUCGGGACAGGCCACCCGACGGGCCCUCCGCCUCCAUUCCGAAGCUGAAGCUGACACGGCCCAUGCCCCCCAGUGCUGACCUGCCGCCCCCCAAGAUCCGCCUGAAGCCCCACCGCCUGGGCGCUGGUGAGCAGGAGCCUGUCUAUAGGGCUGAGCUGGUGGAGGAGCUCAACGGCCGUGGGCAAGGUGCCCAGGCCAGCUCCCCUGCCCACCCUGCCUCUGGCUCUGCCCACGGUGCCCUGGCGGACUUGUCUUCGGGAAGUUCUGGGGAGGACGAUGACUUCAAGACGUGUCCCCAGGGUAAACACGGGCGCGACAGCCUGGCCUUUCUCGCCAGCUGCUCUGGGAGCAGGACAGACUAUGCCCGGGAGUCGCUGUGGAGCAGCGACAGCCUGGACGAGUCCAAAUCGUCCAGCUCAGAAGUCACGUCGCCAGACACAUGUGACCUCUCCUCUGGCGAUGGUGUGUCCGUGCCGCCCACCUCCAAGCGCGCGGGGCAGACGGUCCCGCCCCUGACGGUCAGGCUGCACACGCAGAGCAUCUCCAAGUGCGUUACCGAGGACGGAAGGACCGUGGCCGUAGGGGACAUCGUGUGGGGUAAGGUUCAUGGUUUCCCUUGGUGGCCAGCACGUGUCCUUGACAUCAAUCUUAGCCAGAAGGAGGACGGGGAGCCCUCUUGGCAAGAAGCGAAAGUCUCGUGGUUUGGUUCUCCAACGACAUCAUUCUUGUCCAUUUCCAAACUCUCCCCUUUCUCUGAAUUUUUCAAACUGAGAUUUAACCGUAAGAAGAAGGGGAUGUAUCGGAAAGCUAUAACAGAGGCCGCCAAUGCCGCGCGACACGUGGCCCCGGAAAUCAGGGAGCUCUUAACCCAGUUUGAAACAUGACUGGGGCUCCCUGACCAGGUCACCGACGAUGAGGGCAUGGCGUUCUCCUGGAGCUUCCGACUUCGGGGUGUCCUCCAUGCCCCCCAUUCCGUCCGAGGGGCCCUGCGUGCCUUCUGGUUGGCUGCGUGCAGAACCACGCCAGGCCUGCGGUGGUCAGUCUGGCGCCGGGCUUCCUGGGAGGAGCAGCGUUUUUGAGAAUAGAGGGAGCUGUGUGUCCACUGAUACCUGUGCCCCCCGAGCUCGGCUGCCCUGUUGAAGGGACCCCGCCCAUGUUGAGGUCUGCCCCCCGAGAGACGGCCACCUGUUCCCAGCGCUGCUGCUCAGGGAGGCAGUGGGUUCCGCCUCCCUCGGGCCCUGUAGGUGACACCAACGUCCCCAGUGGGGCAACAUCUCUGCAAAUGGGUCGGUUCUGCUGCGGUUUCUCCCAGUGGGACCCUCAUCUCCUGUUUCCUCUGGGUCCCCUCCCCGGGGAGCCCCCUUUGUCCCUGCUUGUGGUCUCAGCAGAGCCAAGGCCCGAUGAGGGGCAGGUGGCCUGGCCUCUGAGUGCCUGGACCCACCUUGAGGGGAGAAGUGGCUGCCCCAUGGUGUCACCUGGGUCUGGGGAAGUACAAGGCAGAGAGAGAUAGGGCGUUCUUCGUAAGCUGGGCACUGCCCCCUGGAAAAACAUGUCUUAAAUGGAGUGACCUCGGCUCAGGUUCCCGGAGAUGGUCAGCCACGUGCAGCUCUGGCCUGGACACUUUUACUCCUGACCACCCAGCCGGGGUCCCUGAGCUCAGGUACAAGGACAGAGAUCCGUACAGGGGCUUUGGAUUCAGCAGCAUCAUCUCAAGCUCCAGGGCUGGGCGAGGCCCUGCAGGAGACAUGCAGGGCCCUGCCCCGGGCCACCCCCUUCUAAGGGCCAGCUGAGCCCAGCAGUGAAGCCCAGCCCCAAAUGACCUCAGGCCUUGUAGCUCCUGGUCUCUCGGCUGUCCAGUCCUGCUGGGUGCCCUCCCGCUCUGGGCCUGGGUCCUCCGCCGUGCCCACAGCCACCCCCUAGCUCAGGUGCCCAGGAUAGGGUGUCUCUCUCAGGGCUGCCCUCGCUGAAGCCCUCAGCCCGUUUGAGGGGCUGGAGGGAGCCGAGUCCUGGCUGCUCCCACUGGAGCUGGCCAGUUCUCCACCCCCACCCUACCCAGCCGGGGACGCUGGCCCCUGGGUGUGCUGGGACAGACAGCAGUUGUAAUUAAAAGGGAAGGCGGCUUUGUGUGUUUUUAAGGCUUUGUGACUGUUUCCUUAGGCAGCAAAUUAAUCAUGUUUUCAUGUCAGUUUGAUUUCAUGGUGCUCACACCCUGCUUGGCUGUGUGGUCAUCAUUCAUCCCGGGAUCUGGGAGGUCCUACGGGUUUCGACAAAUGCGCGAUGACAUGUCUCCGCCACCUCAGCAUCGCAGGCUGAGCGUCACUGCCCUGGACACCCCCGGACACCGGCUCAUUGAUGUUCUGAGUGAGCAAAGACACGGGGGAUUGCGGAGGACACCAGUUAUCUAUCAUAAUAAAAGGGUGAUAUGCUAAUUA
This is an RNA transcript of Myotis lucifugus (little brown bat), 3272 nucleotides long. It is a transcript of the gene named PWWP domain containing 2B, with no coding region annotated. The record is from RefSeq and is a predicted model, not a curated record. The transcript has 5 exons. Lineage: Eukaryota; Metazoa; Chordata; Mammalia; Chiroptera; Vespertilionidae.